RNAcentral lists this ribosomal RNA (587 nucleotides) under uncultured bacterium. RNAcentral describes it as "bacterial SSU rRNA". It matches the Rfam family "Bacterial small subunit ribosomal RNA", at positions 236 to 815 of the family's 1533-position model. The record is from RNAcentral.
CAAGAUUAGGUUGUUGGUUAGGUAAAAGCUGACCAAGCCGAAGAUCUUUAGUUGGUCUGAGAGGACGAUCAGCCACACUGGGACUGAGACAAGGCCCAGGCUUUUUAAGCCAGCAGUGGGGAAUCUUGGACAAUGAACGAAAGUUUGAUCCAGUAAUAUUGCGUGAAUGAGGAAAGCAAAAAAGAUUGUAAAUUUUAUGAUCGGUUGUAAAGUUCUUUCGCUAAUGAGGAUUAUGACUUUAAUUAAAGAAGAAGCUCCGGCUAAUUUCGUGCCAGCAGCCGCGGUAAUACCAAAGGGGCAAGCGUUAUUCGGAAUGAUUGGGCGUAAAGGGUUUGUAGGCUGUAAUUAUUUAUUAAUUGUAAAAGUCUUUGUUUAUCACAUUGAAUUGCUUUUAAUAUAUUUUAUUACUUUGAGUUUAUUAGAGGGUAGCAGAAUUUCAUACAUAGGGUUAAAAUCCAUUUAUUUAUGAAAGUAAUGUCAGAGGCGAAAGGCGGCUACCUAGCAUUACUAACUGACGCUGAGGAACGAAAGCGUAGAGAGCAAACAGGAUUAGAUACCCUGGUAGUCUACGCUGCCAACGAUGAGUG